CUUUCAUAGUUCUCACUAUUUCUGGUGUGGGAGUCUUGUUGAGACCAUGGUCACGUCUUCUACCUAAUGAAUCCUUGACAGGCUCAAGUGGGAGGAAGUCUCUAAGAUGUCUGCUCCAAACAAAACCACAGCUAACUGCAGUCCCUCAAGGCCUCAUCCAUGUGGAUGAAUUCAAUGAUGUUGUAGUCUUGACAAAGCACCUGGUUUCUUCCAGCUCCUGGACAGAUUCAGGACAUGCAGAUGUGGGGGUACAAGGACAGCAAUGCAGCAGCAAGGCAAGUUACAACAAGGACUCAGAGAUAAUGCCUGGUCUGGUGGACAUCUGCAGACACAGAAUGCAUGGGCCAGCCUUCCCACCAUUCUCCUGCCUCCAGCGGUGUUGGGUCAGUGAUGCUGUUAAAGCACGGAAACAACUGUCUUGCAUGGAACUAACACAGAUUCACAGGCCUUCACUGAGAACUGACCCCAAGAAGUCCAGCAGCAAUCAGUGCCGGGACCCAGAGAUGGGAGGAGCCUGGAAAGGUAUCCUUCUAUCUUCUUGAGAAAACAACUUCCUAGUUGGUCUCCAUUCACCAUUAAAUCUCUGCUGAAAAUGUAUGCUCCAUCAUACUUCAGUACACUAUAUCUGGAAAGACUCACAGACUCCUCUUCCAUUUCAAAGUCUGUCAUUGUAGGCUGUACCCUUUGGAGUGGAUCAACAAAAUUGUUUUGUAGUAGGACACUACAGUCCCCUGCCAUCUUUUGAGUUUUCUCUCAUGUUGGUAGAUUCUGGAAGGAUGGCUCCAAGCACAGCCAGAUUGCCCUCUGUAUUGUGUGGGAUCUGUACAAUCCAAUAAAUCAUCAGUGCCUUUUCA
RNAcentral lists this long non-coding RNA (854 nucleotides) under Parus major (Great Tit). Its description in RNAcentral is "lncRNA (ENSPMJG00000010511.1)". The record is from RNAcentral. Lineage: Eukaryota; Metazoa; Chordata; Aves; Passeriformes; Paridae.